UACGGAGGAUCCAAGCGUCAUCCGGAUUUAUUGGGUUUAAAGGGUGCGUAGGCGGCCUGUUAAGUCAGGGGUGAAAGACGGUAGCUCAACUAUCGCAGUGCCCUUGAUACUGAAGAGCUUGAAUACACUAGAGGUAGGCGGAAUGUGACAAGUAGCGGUGAAAUGCAUAGAUAUGUCACAGAACACCAAUUGCGAAGGCAGCUUACUAUGGUGUCAUUGACGCUGAGGCACGAAGGCGUGGGGAUCAAACAGG
This 253-nucleotide ribosomal RNA is filed under the name uncultured bacterium. RNAcentral's name for it is "partial 16S ribosomal RNA". It matches the Rfam family "Bacterial small subunit ribosomal RNA", at positions 524 to 776 of the family's 1533-position model. The record is from RNAcentral.